Molecule: long non-coding RNA, 489 nt
Organism: Manacus vitellinus (golden-collared manakin)
Lineage: Eukaryota; Metazoa; Chordata; Aves; Passeriformes; Pipridae
Exons: 3
Source: RefSeq, a predicted model, not a curated record
CCCCGGGGCGGCCGCAGCCAAGGGAGCCAAUGGAGCCUGGUGGGCUCCGGGAGAGGCACCCGCGGGAUGAAUCAAGCACCGCUGCAAAAUGGCACCUCCGCGCCCUUCGGGGGUGCGGGGACAGGCGGGGCAGCGACCGGCAGCCCCAGGGGGCAAGGCAGGGAGCGGCUCUCCCCGAUCCCCCCGUCUGACGUGGCCCGUGCACCAGGAGUGCUCUCCAAGCAUGUGUGAACGGUCUUUGCCAGACACAGCAAAAAUGGACUCUUGAUCUGACUUAGUACAGCCAGGAUUUACACCGUGGGGCUGACCACCAUCCUGACAUUCAGGGUGCCAGGAGACCUCUCCCCGUGCACAGCCUGCCUGUGCAGUCAGAGCGCAGCCCUCCCUCCCCUGCCACAGGCUGCAGCACCGCAACUGCUCUCCCUUCUGCAGCAAAGGUGCAUAAAUACUCCUCUGGCCUUUUUCUGCACAUCCUUGCAAAUAUAACAC